This 253-nucleotide ribosomal RNA is filed under the name uncultured bacterium. Its description in RNAcentral is "partial 16S ribosomal RNA". It matches the Rfam family "Bacterial small subunit ribosomal RNA", at positions 524 to 776 of the family's 1533-position model. The record is from RNAcentral.
AACGUAGGAGACAAACGUUAUCCGGAGUUACUGGGCGUAAAGGGCGUGUAGGUGGUUUCGUAAGUCUGGCGUGAAAUUUUUCGGCUUAACCGGGAAAGGUCGUCGGAUACUGCGGGACUGGAGGACGGUAGAGGCGUGUGGAAUUCCGGGUGUAGUGGUGAAAUGCGUAGAUAUCGAGAGGAACACCUGCGGCGAAGGCGGGUUGCUGGGCCGACACUGACGCUGAGGCGCGAAAGCCAGGGGAGCGAACGGG